GUCUCAGUUCAGAUUGUAGGCUGAAACUCGCCUAUAUGAAGUCGGAAUUGCUAGUAAUCGCGGAUCAGCAUGCCGCGGUGAAUACGUUCCCGGGCCUUGUACACACCGCCCGUCACACCAUGAGAGUCGAUAACACCCGAAGCCUGUAGUCUAACAGCAAUGAGGACGCAGUCGAAGGUGGGAUUGAUAAUUAGGGUGAAGUCGUAACAAGGUAAC
This 216-nucleotide ribosomal RNA is filed under the name uncultured bacterium. Its description in RNAcentral is "partial 16S ribosomal RNA". It matches the Rfam family "Bacterial small subunit ribosomal RNA", at positions 1285 to 1500 of the family's 1533-position model. The record is from RNAcentral.